GAUGAAGAACGUAGCGAAAUGCGAUAAGUAAUGUGAAUUGCAGAAUUCAGUGAAUCAUCGAAUCUUUGAACGCACAUUGCGCCCGCCAGUAUUCUGGCGGGCAUGCCUGUUCGAGCGUCAUUUCAACCCUCAAGACCCCUUCGGGGGACUUGGUGUUGGGGACCGGCUGUUCCCGGCCUGCUUCUUGCAGCGCCUUUAUGCCGCCCCCGAAAUGAAUUGGCGGCCUCGUCGCGGCCUCCCCUGCGUAGUAGCACAACCUCGCAACGGGAACGUGACGGCGGCCACUGCCGUAAAACAACCCAAUUUUAUUAGAGUUGACCUCGAAUCAGGUAGGAAUACCCGCUGAACUUAAGCAUAUCAAUAAGCGGAGGA
RNAcentral lists this unclassified non-coding RNA (372 nucleotides) under soil metagenome. RNAcentral describes it as "partial contains 5.8S ribosomal RNA, internal transcribed spacer 2, and large subunit ribosomal RNA". The stretch from base 1 to 120 matches the Rfam family "5.8S ribosomal RNA", at positions 35 to 154 of the family's 154-position model. The record is from RNAcentral.